GUGCCAGCAGCCGCGGUAAUACGAAGGUCCCAAGCGUUGUUCGGAAUCACUGGGCGUAAAGGGAGCGUAGGCGGCGUGGUAAGUCAGAUGUGAAAUCCCGGGGCUCAACCCCGGAACUGCAUCCGAUACUGCCAUGCUAGAGGAUUGGAGAGGUAGCUGGAAUUCUUGGUGUAGCAGUGAAAUGCGUAGAGAUCAAGAGGAACACUCGUGGCGAAAGCGAGCUACUGGACAAUAUCUGACGCUGAGGCUCGAAGGCUAGGGUAGCGAAAGGGAUUAGAUACCCCUGUAGUCCUAGCAGUAAACGGUGCACGCUUGGUGUGAGGGGAAUCGACCCCCCUUGUGCCGGAGCAAACGCGUUAAGCGUGCCGCCUGGGAAGUACGGUCGCAAGACUAAAACUCAAAGAAAUUGACGGGGACCCGCACAAGCGGUGGAGUAUGUGGCUUAAUUCGAUGCAACGCGAAGAACCUUACCAAGGCUUGACAUGCAUCUCUAAGCGCGUGAAAGCGCGUGACCCUUCGGGGGGUUUGCACAGGUGCUGCAUGGCCGUCGUCAGCUCGUGUCGUGAGAUGUUGGGUUAAGUCCCGCAACGAGCGCAACCCUUGUGAUUAGUUGCCAGCACGUAAUGGUGGGAACUCUAGUCAGACUGCCCAGAUCAACUGGGAGGAAGGUGGGGACGACGUCAGGUCAGUAUGGCCCUUACGCCUUGUGCUGCACACGUACUACAAUGCCCAGC
RNAcentral lists this ribosomal RNA (734 nucleotides) under uncultured Verrucomicrobiota bacterium. RNAcentral's name for it is "bacterial SSU rRNA". It matches the Rfam family "Bacterial small subunit ribosomal RNA", at positions 505 to 1238 of the family's 1533-position model. Lineage: Bacteria; Pseudomonadati; Verrucomicrobiota. The record is from RNAcentral.